UGGGGAAUAUUGGACAAUGGGGGCAACCCUGAUCCAGCAAUGCCGCGUGUGUGAAGAAGGUCUUCGGAUUGUAAAGCACUUUCGACGGGGACGAUGAUGACGGUACCCGUAGAAGAAGCCCCGGCUAACUUCGUGCCAGCAGCCGCGGUAAUACGAAGGGGGCUAGCGUUGCUCGGAAUGACUGGGCGUAAAGGGCGUGUAGGCGGUUUGUACAGUCAGAUGUGAAAUCCCCGGGCUUAACCUGGGAGCUGCAUUUGAUACGUGCAGACUAGAGUGUGAGAGAGGGUUGUGGAAUUCCCAGUGUAGAGGUGAAAUUCGUAGAUAUUGGGAAGAACACCGGUGGCGAAGGCGGCAACCUGGCUCAUUACUAC
This 371-nucleotide ribosomal RNA is filed under the name uncultured Acetobacter sp. Its description in RNAcentral is "bacterial SSU rRNA". It matches the Rfam family "Bacterial small subunit ribosomal RNA", at positions 355 to 743 of the family's 1533-position model. The record is from RNAcentral. Lineage: Bacteria; Pseudomonadati; Pseudomonadota; Alphaproteobacteria; Acetobacterales; Acetobacteraceae.